This is a long non-coding RNA of Dreissena polymorpha, 351 nucleotides long. RefSeq lists it as uncharacterized. The record is from RefSeq and is a predicted model, not a curated record. NCBI's taxonomy places the organism in Eukaryota, Metazoa, Mollusca, Bivalvia, Myida, Dreissenidae. The transcript is spliced from 2 exons.
UAUCAAGGUGCCUGAACCACGUGACUUUUUCGGCUAUGUGUGGGACAAUCGGAUGUAAACAAAACGUCGCUUCAGACUUGAAAAGGAUUAGUCGAAAGAUCUGUUACGCUUUUAAGGUUCGAAGCUGUGUAAGAACUACAUGAACACCAUCAAACCACACGGAAGGUGAUAUGUGGCAAGUUAAUUAUCAAAACCACAGUGACAGAGACAGGGACCCCGCUUCAUUCUGUGAUGUUUAUGGAAAGCUAUUUCAACUAACUAUGCAAACAUACCAUUUAACAUGUAUUUUUGCAUAAGCAAAACAAAGUGUGUGUAUUGAUAUGUGUGUAUAUUUAUGGGUUUUGUAUCUAU